Molecule: long non-coding RNA, 485 nt
Organism: Plutella xylostella (diamondback moth)
Lineage: Eukaryota; Metazoa; Arthropoda; Insecta; Lepidoptera; Plutellidae
Source: RefSeq, a predicted model, not a curated record
UCGAUGUCAGAAGUAUAUGCGCCCAGUGAUUUUGCAUUUAUUUUGAAAUAGAUUUUAAAGACAUACCUAUACGUUUGAUUAAUAUGAAUCAGUGGGUAGAGUUCUCCAUCUACGUCGUUCUGCUUACAUGUAUCUAUACAUAUUUGUAUUUAGUGGCAGAAAGUAUAGUUGAAAGUGACCCAGAUUACAAUCACGAUGAACUGUAAGCAGUAGAAUGGACAAGAUUAUAGCUGUUAUUGCGCACAUAGGUAAAAUAACAUGUUGUAUAGUGGAGAGCACAAUUCGUGCUAUUGCGCAUUCAUUGUUCCACAUAUCGAUACGCAUCGUCUGUAUUGGUUUGGCUGUAAUGGUUGCUCUAGCUUUAUAUCAGAAAAACAGUACAAGUACAGCAAAUACGAUAACUUUAAUAGGAUUCAGUGCCAUUGUGGGUGUUUGUUUGUAUGACCUCCUGUUUUAGCAAUAAAUGUAAUGAUAUUUAAAACUUA